AGCUGCGAGCUUGGUUGAAGAUGGAUUUGGAGAUGCCAUGGUCUUUUUUUUUUUCUUUUUUUGAAAAGGAUGCCAUGGUUGACUCUUGAAUUAUUGGGUUGGUUUGGUAUUUAUGUAGAUUAUAUGAUGAUAUGAUAGCAUAGGGUAUGAUUUGUAUCACUAUUACUAUUACUAUGGUAUAUCUAUCUAUCUAUCUAUCUAUCUAUAAAAGCAGAGUUUCUGCAGCCUUGAGGGCAAAUCAGUAAUUCAAUAAGCCAAUUUACAUGAACUUCAAUUUUAACAUGGUUAUUUUAGUAAAUCUCAAAAUAAUUCAAUCUUAGCCGUCCAUUGAUUUUAAUCUUUACGGUCUUGGCCAAACCCUUUCGGAUUGCCCUCUCACAUUCGCUCAAGUAGAUUUCCGUUUCCAUUCUAUCAUCCCAUCUGAUGUUUACGUUUUUUUUUUCCGCAAUCAAGGCUUCAGUUUCAAUUCCACCAUCUCUUCAAACCCUCAUUCGUUUGGUUCCAGUAUUAAGGUGGGUCAUGGGUGACCGUUUCAUUCGCUCUGAACAUUCCCCCUUUCGUUAGAUUGUCUGCAUCAGAGAGAUCAGUUCCGGCAUCGACUACUUUGUCCAAGAUGACUUCGACAUCUUCACAAGGUUUUGGAGCAUUUUCUUUUCGGAGAAGCUUAGAAAUUUGGUGUAGCAGAACACGAAUCCUCACGGAGUGGUGCAAAAGAAGGAACAGAAGUCCAGAACAUCGGAAGUACAUUGGAUGGGUAGGUGUGCAUAUUACUAAUCCUUGCAUCAGAUUUUAGCUUUCCAAUGAGAAGUGAUCGUGGAAGGAUUUAUGGCUUGGAGAUUGAUGGAGAGUUCGAUGGCUGCAAUGGGUUCUGUUCAGGCUAAGGCAAACAUCAUGAAGUUGAAUGAGGAAAGGCGCAUGAAUACUAGAGAAAAAAAAUUCUUAAGAAAGAGUUGGGAGAUAUAUGCUGAUUUUGCAUAAGCCAAUAUUCCAUCCGUUCUAGAUUAUGUGGGAACUGUCAUUGAGUAAAACUUCUGAUAGUGAAGUAAAUAUCAAGGGAGCUUCCUUAUACAGUCAACUUAUGAGGUGAAAGUCUGAAAGAAGCUAUGGAAGUUGAAAGAACAAUUCAUGCUCCAUCAGAGGAGCUAUCAGAAAAUUCGAGCACCUCAUGGCUACUGGACGAGGUUCCACUGUUACUGGCACAGAUGUUGAUCUACGUAGAUUAGGCAUGGAAGCUGCUCGAGAGGUGUAUCACAUUUUAGUUAUCUGCUAUAAACGUAAAUGAUUUUCUUGAUGAACCCGGAACAGACAAGUAUGAACGUGAAACAGCUUCAAGGGACUCUUUGUUUGUACUCUAAGUAGAAGGCAAGGGUUUUAAUCUUCUUCCAUCUUCAAUUCACCAUUAGAUUCUUCCCCUUACUUUUCAUAGAUUAUUAUUCUCUUUCAUGCAUUAUCCAGUUUAUUUUCCUAAUUGGUCUUACUGAUUAUUCUUUUGGUGUGAUUUUGAACAUGAAGAAGAUCAACUUUAUAUCUUGUCAUAGAGCAGGGCUCCAAGAGCUGGCUCUAGCGCAGUUCGAUCAGGUCAGGUUACUGAGUUGUUACCUGACAAGUUUAUGUGUUCAAUGUUGAUGGAUGUAUGUUCUAACUUGCGAUAUUUGGACAAGGGCAAGCAAUAUUUUACCUUCUGUUUCAAGUGCGGCUAUUUACAAAACGAGAUCAAUGGGAUACAACUCUGUGUACUUCCAUGAUUUCAAGCUAUACUGCUACGCGUGGUUUAGGAGAUCAAUGGGAUACAACUCUAUGUAUCAUGCUCUGCAUCUUUUUCCUUUAACCUUGAUAGAGAAUAUUCGGUAGACGGAGUACAUGGUUAGCUGUAUUCUGAGUUAUGUUUCCAUUUUUUAUGAGUAGAAGUAGGUAAAAUCCAUGCUUUGGUUAUCAUAUUUUGGCCCCAUUGGACAUGAUAGUUCUGAGACUAUUCAUAGAGCUUUUCAUCUUGGUGCUAAUUUCAAGACGAUUAUUGGUGCAAAGAUGCUUAAAGUAAAAAAAAAACAGUGUAAAUAUCCACAUGUAUGGGAUCUAAUUGAGUCCAUGCUACUUGAACAUCAAGCAAAUAUGAGGAAAUUGAGAUUGAUCUACAUGACGGGAAAAGAAAAUGUGAGUCUUUAUGGCCUAUAUUAUUUCAAUUUGCUCACAAUGAGAGCCCCUACACAUUUGAAGCUGUUUGCAAAAUGGAAGAAUUGUACAGGUUAUAGGGAAGGUUUAACUAGCUGCAGUUUUUCAAGAACUUUUUUGUGAUGGAUUCAUUUUACGUGAAGUGAGUUAUUGCUUAA
This is a long non-coding RNA of Lotus japonicus, 2327 nucleotides long. RefSeq lists it as uncharacterized. NCBI's taxonomy places the organism in Eukaryota, Viridiplantae, Streptophyta, Magnoliopsida, Fabales, Fabaceae. The record is from RefSeq and is a predicted model, not a curated record. The transcript is spliced from 8 exons.